CUUGAGCUUCUGUUCCUUUAUUUUUCUUAUCAAGAUCAUUAUUGUUGCAGUCCAUGGCUAGGAUUCAAUCUACGAUUCUGUCCAAGGUACAAGUUUAGUCAGCAUGCAAUAAAAACAGCAAGUUUUAUUCUACUGUUAGAAGCAUGGAAGUUAACAGUGUAUUCCCUAUAUCUACAUAGAAGCAGGGAAGUCCUAAGCAACUUUUAUCCCCUCCAAAAAUACUGCAGUGAUCAACAUUUGCGUCACCAGUUAGGCAGUAAAUAGAGGCUGAAGACUACGAUCAUUUCCAUCAUGUGGAUGAAAUGUAUGCAUUUCCAUCUACAGAUCAUGAUGAAUCCCUAUUCUGAAUGAUAAAAGCAAGAUGGAAAGUCUCUUUAAGGGACACAUCAGGGGCGGACCCAGCAUAAGACAUGGGAGUACACAUGUACACCCGAUAAUUCUUCUUCUUGCAAACGAAAUCCAAGUUAGUAGGUAACUCACUAUAUUGUAACUGGAGUCAGAUCCAAAUACAGAUAGUUUUGUUAGGGUUUGGGGUGCUCCGUCUCCUACAGCACAAGGGAAGACAAGGGGCGGGCGCGGCAUACCUGGAGUGGAGGAGGCGCUCGUCGCCGGCAAAGGGCUGGACCGCCCCUCGCCCAGUCGUCGCCGCCAGGUAGGGAAGGAAGAUCUCGAGCAAGGGAGGAUCUCUUGGAGACAAGGGAAAGGUUCCCUUCGAGAAGAGAAACAGAGGGAGGAGAUGAACUGAGGCCCUCAGCGGCUGAGCUCUGAGCAGCGGGAGGGCUGUCAAUCAGCAGCUCUCCUCCGGUUCCGUUACCAAAUUUCUUCGGAAAAAUUUAUCACCUCCUCAUGUAUGGGGGAUGGUAUACAUAAUCCCACAAUCUAUAAAACAGUCUAUAUCACCCUCUAAACUUUUUAAAACCGAUCAAAUUACCCCAUUAAAGCAGUUUUGAAAAAUCAUAGUAAAUCACAGAAAAAUCAUAAAAUGAAAAAUCUAAUUGUAUUAGACUUCAAAUGUAAACAUAUAAUAUGGUAUUCUUUAGUAUAUUUUUUAUUGUAGCUUUAGAUUUAUGAUUUUCUUCAUAGCUGUAAAAAAAUGUACUAAAGCAUACCAUAUUAUAUGUUCACUGUGUAGAUCUACUCAUUCGGAGUCUAACACAAUUGGAUUUUUCAUUUUAUGAUUUUUCUGUGAUUUAAUAUGAUUUUUUUAAAACUACUUUAGGGGGUAAUUUGACUAAUUUUGAAAAAUUUAGGGGGUGAUAUAGACCGUUUCAUUGUUUGGGGGGGUUAUGUAUUCUAACCCCCCUAGGUGAGGGGGUGAUAUAAACUUUUUCCAAUUUCUUCUGAUAAAUAAAGAUUAGACUAAAAAACUGAUUUAAUCUGAUAAAUAAAGAGAAAAGAUAGUGUAU
Molecule: long non-coding RNA, 1406 nt
Organism: Panicum virgatum (switchgrass)
Lineage: Eukaryota; Viridiplantae; Streptophyta; Magnoliopsida; Poales; Poaceae
Exons: 2
Source: RefSeq, a predicted model, not a curated record